AUUGAAUAUUUUCAAUUAGUUCUUACAGUGUAAAAUAGUCAAAUGAUUAGAAACCUUCUAUAAUUGAUCUACUAAUUAAAAUAAAUCGUUAGAUGUAAAAUUGAAUUAAUGCUGAAAUUAUACCCGGGCCUAUGCCUUUGCUGCCCAUGUGACAGGAUUGAAUGAAUGACAAACUGAGAUUUGAAAAUGAGUUUUUUAUCCAACACCAUGGAAGAAAAGAUCAAUGUCUCUUGUUUAAUAUGUGCUGACAAUUGUCUUUUGAUUUAUGGGCAGUCAUUAGCUGAGGUUGAAAAAUCACGGGCUCGUCAUUUUUUUCAUGGAAACAUGUGGACUGAAGUUGGUACCAAUCAAUGUGAUGGGACUGAAAUAUUUAUAUUGGAAGUAGUAAUUAGUGUGAUGACACCAUGAAUUAAUAGCUCAAAGACACAUUGAAUUAAUGGUCAAAAUCAGAAUUUUGAAGCAUUUGACUGGAUCCUGGAAUAUGGCCCACUUCCAUUGGUAUGUACCUUUUGCAAACAAUAUUCAUUUCUCUUUGUGUUCUUAUGUUUAUUCAAUAAAGCUAAUGUCUAUUUUUAACUUAUUAUAACUGCAAAACAGCAUUUUACAUGUUUGGUAUUCAUUUAACCAAGGUCCAAGUUAAGGCUUUGUUGCCGAGGAAAGCUUUAUAAAAUGAAUCUGACAAUGACCACAUGUGUGUAUCCACAUUUGGAUUGUUAAAAUUAAUCUUCCUUACACUAAUGAUUUAUUUAUAUACUAUAGAUGAAAUCGUAAAGCCAGAUGGGUGAUUGCAAAUGCUUUCAUAACUUCGAAGCCAAUAAAUUAAUGCCCCCAUUAUAUUUAAUGUUACUCAUUUAUUACAGUUUUGAUAUAAUGCAGAGUGUUGACAAUUGAUUAGUUCUAGUGCCUGUUUGAUGUGUAAUUAUAAGAUGCAGGUCCUGCGGAAUGUGUGGAUGGUAAGUGGGUAGUAAUUGUGUGGGGAUAAAAAUUAUGUUUGACCAGAAAUGAUUAAACUAUAUUCACUUCCCAAACAUGCUAGUGUCCACAAACGUUUGAUCGGUGAAAAUAAAGUAUUUUUGUGAACUUAAUUAAUGCAGAAUCAACACUUGGGUCAUUGGUUUGAGAUCUGAAAUUGAAAUUGUUUAAAUUAAAAUCUCCAUGGAAAAAUAUCAAUCUCCCCUGUUUAAUCUAUUCCGACUAGUAUCAUUUGGUUUUUUGAUAUUUAUGAGAGAUUAAUUAUUGGCUGUGAUUUGCAGUGGGUGAACAAUAUAUGGAGGAAUGAAGGUGGCAGAUACCAAUGUAUUUUUGCGAAUGGUAGCCUGAAUAGUCGAAAUCAAUGUGAUGAGCUGAAUAUAUUUUGAUUGAGAGCCAAAAUCAUUGUGAUGACACUAUGUAUUAAAAGCUCAAAGUUAUGUCCCUGAAAAUUUUACAACAUUUGAUUUGGUCCUGGUCUUUGGCCUUCCUUAAUUGGUAAGUACAUAAUCAGUAUUUUUUUUCAUUUUUGAUAUUAUCCAUGUUCUUGUUCAACAAAGGGUGAAUUAAGAUAUGCUAUGCUACAUUCUGCUAGUAUUUCACCUCUUCUAGCAGUCUGGAUUAAGUUCAUAUGUGAUACUUCCGUCUAAUUUGUUGUCUGGUGCACUGAGUCGAUGAAUUUUUUCCAAUUGAGCCUCUUAAAAAUGCAUAUGUAGAUGUUUAGAGUUCUGUACUGAAAGAAAUCUUUAUACAAACUAAUUUUUCUUAUAUCGGUUGUACUCUAAUAAUCAGUUAACUUGGUUGAUGUGAUGGAAACCUAAAAGUUUCGUUUCUAACAUUGAAAAUAAUAUAAAAUUUUUCAAUUUUAUUUUGUUUUAGUUUGGGAUUUUAUUUGGACAAGAUUAGAUAGUCUUCCGUAGUUUGUUAAGCUUGUGAUGUGAAAGUUUCCUUGAAUUUAAGUUUCUUAAAUCUAUUUAUGGGCAACAGAUGAUACUUAUCACUAUUACAUGUAUAUGGAAAAUUUUCUUACUAGCUAAUUAUUCUCCUCUGUUCUUCCUUUUCCCCAUCUGCUUCUAAUCUCUCUCUUUCCCUGUACCCUGUAUAUCGUGAUGUUACACAAGUUGAAUUCAGAUUAGAGAGUUAGAGGGGAGUAUCUGGAAGCAGCUGAGAGAUAACCAGUGUACUAGUGUGGGCCUCAAAACAGUUUUAUCUUGGGUAAGAACAGAGAUUCCUGGAUUUGUGUGGUAAAAGUGAGCUUUUCACCACAUGGGAUUUUCUCUGCCAAGUAUGUAUACAUGUCAAUAUAUAGUUUGGCCGAAUGAAAGUUUUAAUAAGCUUUGAAGCAACUCCGAAUGGAUGAAACUUGCACAAAAAUUGUAUAGAAUUUGCAGAUCUGCAUAGGAUUGGCAGUUGACAUUAUGAGUUGCUUUCAAAUAUAUAAGAAUAAAAUGAAUGAAAUGGAGAUUUUGCAUGUUCCUGAGAUGAGUGGUGGCGUGACUUGGUGAUUAAGCUUAAUUAGGAUGGUCAUGCAUGUAUUUGUUUAUUAUAUCUUGCUUAGCUUUUAUGGCAGUAUCUAGUUUAUUUGGUUUUGGCUCUCGCUUAUCUGAAAUUUCAUGCUCAGAAAUGCUAUGUUUUGGCUCUGUGUUUCUGCUUUUCGAAUAAUUAUUUUCAUUUGCAAUGUUAACUGAAAAUCUCAUCGUCCUCCGUGUGAAAUAUUAAAAUCUAGUCAUGUAAAAUAGUAAUAAUAAUAAAUAAAUAAAUAAAUAAAAAAUCAACAUUGUUGUUGAUAUAUUUUGAUACAUUCAUGUGUAUUUGUGUAGACCUUUGACAGUCAAUUAGAAGCAUUUAAGAAGCAUUAUAAAGCCUCAAACAUGAGAGGUAUUUGACCUUGCUUGGAAGGGAUUCAUUACAGGAGUUUUGAAGCAAGUUUUUUCGCUCAUAUUGGUCACAGGACGGGACAAGCAACCAAAGGAUUCUGUUUGAGUACUCUUCAUUUAGUGUAUGUUAACAUGUCUAAAGUAUUGUUGUUGUUGUUGAAUAAAUUUUAUGAAUCAAUUUCUUGAUAUAUUAUAGAUAUUUUCUUGGAAUGCUUCAACAACUUGUCGAAUUUGUUUGUUGACGCAUUAUCUCUAUUUUUAUUAUGAUGUUUUAGUCAAAUCCUUUAUUUGAAGUCAUUAA
RNAcentral lists this long non-coding RNA (3147 nucleotides) under Olea europaea subsp. europaea. Lineage: Eukaryota; Viridiplantae; Streptophyta; Magnoliopsida; Lamiales; Oleaceae. The record is from RNAcentral.